This is a long non-coding RNA of Cydia strobilella, 309 nucleotides long. RefSeq lists it as uncharacterized. Lineage: Eukaryota; Metazoa; Arthropoda; Insecta; Lepidoptera; Tortricidae. The transcript has 3 exons. The record is from RefSeq and is a predicted model, not a curated record.
CACGAAAACCUAUAAAAGUUAAAUACGACGUUUAUUAGCCAUAGUUUUCAAGUUCCAGUUUAGCUGAAAACAGUUUUCGGUAAAAGAUGAAAUACUUGCAAUAUUUUAUUUUGGGACUCCUUUUAGUUCUAACCAUUGACUAUAGCGAGUGCAUGCGGCCGCCACCGAAGUAUGACCCACAGGACUUGGUGGACUGUAGACCUGGGUCCUACGUACCAAGUCAUUACUACCACAUCGCCUGUUUGUGCGUGAGACCCGGAGUCGCAGACGAGAAUAAAUGCAUCGAUACCUAUUCAGUAUAGGGUGGUA